CAGUAAUAUAUUACUAAAGCUUGCUUUAUAAGAAUUUUUAACAGAAUUUCUUCUGUUCAUAUUUUAAUACAAUUUUAUGAAGCUGAACGUCGGCGACUAAUUACCUAUUAGUCGAUUACUACGGUCAAUAAUUAGAUCCAUUAGGUGUAUAAUGUAUUUUGCAUUACGUUCAUACCACACAGCAACAGAGAACUUCCUAGAAUCAUCCUAACAGCAGAGCAAAAGAAUUCUGUUCACGGAGGAAAUUUAAGUGUUGCAUUUGAGAGAGACCAGUUUCAGAAGUGUAAAAGGAUGAAGAAUAAGGAAGAGAUGCAUUUAUGGGACGUUUAAAGAUGUAAAGACUGCAUACAAUAUGCCAAAAUAUGCACAAUAUGCAAAGUAUAGUACUCGUUAGAGGAUCAACCAAAUCUAGCGAAGAAAUCUAACCAAGC
RNAcentral lists this unclassified non-coding RNA (431 nucleotides) under Bombus terrestris (buff-tailed bumblebee). RNAcentral's name for it is "misc RNA ENSBTSG00005037196.1". Lineage: Eukaryota; Metazoa; Arthropoda; Insecta; Hymenoptera; Apidae. The record is from RNAcentral.